CCUACGGGGGGCAGCAGUGGGGAAUAUUGCACAAUGGGCGCAAGCCUGAUGCAGCCAUGCCGCGUGUAUGAAGAAGGCCUUCGGGUUGUAAAGUACUUUCAGCGGGGAGGAAGGUGUUGUGGUUAAUAACCACAGCAAUUGACGUUACCCGCAGAAGAAGCACCGGCUAACUCCGUGCCAGCAGCCGCGGUAAUACGGAGGGUGCAAGCGUUAAUCGGAAUUACUGGGCGUAAAGCGCACGCAGGCGGUCUGUCAAGUCGGAUGUGAAAUCCCCGGGCUCAACCUGGGAACUGCAUUCGAAACUGGCAGGCUAGAGUCUUGUAGAGGGGGGUAGAAUUCCAGGUGUAGCGGUGAAAUGCGUAGAGAUCUGGAGGAAUACCGGUGGCGAAGGCGGCCCCCUGGACAAAGACUGACGCUCAGGUGCGAAAGCGUGGGGAGCAAACAGGAUUAGAUACCCCGGUAGUC
Molecule: ribosomal RNA, 465 nt
Filed under: uncultured Erwinia sp.
Lineage: Bacteria; Pseudomonadati; Pseudomonadota; Gammaproteobacteria; Enterobacterales; Erwiniaceae
Description: bacterial SSU rRNA
Rfam family: Bacterial small subunit ribosomal RNA
Source: RNAcentral